Molecule: small RNA, 506 nt
Filed under: Pan troglodytes (chimpanzee)
Lineage: Eukaryota; Metazoa; Chordata; Mammalia; Primates; Hominidae
Description: processed transcript
Source: RNAcentral
UAGAGAUCCUGGCGCCGAGCGACAGGUGCCGGAACAAACAGGCGGUGAGAAAUCGCGGACGCGGAACCAUUUCUUGGGCAGGACUUCCGGCGGAAAAGCGGGCUGUCUCGGAAACUCAGAGCCGGGUUCCUCCCGGGUUUCUGCCGGGUUUCUCCCUGCGGUUCCUGGGCUGUUGAGACUCUUGUGAAGAUGGCUUGCGCUGCCGCGCGGUCCCCUGCCGACCAGGACAGGUUUAUUUGUAUCUAUCCUGCUUAUUUAAAUAAUAAGAAGACCAUCGCAGAGGGAAGGCGAAUCCCCAUAAGUAAGGCUGUUGAAAAUCCUACAGCUACAGAGAUUCAAGAUGUAUGUUCAGCAGUUGGACUUAACGUAUUUCUUGAGAGACUGGGUUUCACCAUGUUACUCAGGCUGGUCUCUAACACCUGAGCUCAAGCAAUCCACCCACCUUGACCUCUGGAAGUGCUGGGAUUACAGGUUAAGAAUGUCUGAGGGGCCAGGCGGUGCUGGCA